Molecule: ribosomal RNA, 400 nt
Filed under: uncultured bacterium
Lineage: Bacteria
Description: bacterial SSU rRNA
Rfam family: Bacterial small subunit ribosomal RNA
Source: RNAcentral
UAAGGAAUAUUGGUCAAUGGACGGAAGUCUGAACCAGCCAUGCCGCGUGGAGGAUGAAGGCCCUCUGGGUUGUAAACUUCUUUUAUCUGGGACGAAAUGAUCCUUUUCUAAGGGUUUUGACGGUACCAGGAGAAUAAGCACCGGCUAACUCCGUGCCAGCAGCCGCGGUAAUACGGAGGGUGCAAGCGUUAUCCGGAUUCACUGGGUUUAAAGGGUGCGUAGGCGGACUUGUAAGUCCGUGGUGAAAUCUCCGGGCUUAACCCGGAAACUGCCAUGGAUACUAUGAGUCUUGAAUGUUGUGGAGGUUAGCGGAAUAUGUCAUGUAGCGGUGAAAUGCAUAGAUAUGACAUAGAACACCAAUUGCGAAGGCAGCUGGCUACACAACGAUUGACGCUGAGGC